This 251-nucleotide ribosomal RNA is filed under the name uncultured bacterium. Its description in RNAcentral is "partial 16S ribosomal RNA". It matches the Rfam family "Bacterial small subunit ribosomal RNA", at positions 525 to 775 of the family's 1533-position model. The record is from RNAcentral.
ACGGAGGAUGCAAGCGUUAUCCGGAUUUAUUGGGUUUAAAGGGUGCGUAGGCGGACUGAUAAGUCAGUGGUGAAAGUUUUCGGCUUAACCGAAGAAUUGCCGUUGAAACUGUCGGUCUUGAGUUUAGUGGAAGUAGGCGGAAUGUGUAGUGUAGCGGUGAAAUGCAUAGAUAUUAGGCGGAACACCAAUGGCGAAGGCAGCUUACUGGAGUACAACUGACGCUGAAGCGCGAAAGCGUGGGGAUCAAACAG